Molecule: ribosomal RNA, 59 nt
Filed under: Ficus gomelleira
Lineage: Eukaryota; Viridiplantae; Streptophyta; Magnoliopsida; Rosales; Moraceae
Description: partial 28S ribosomal RNA
Source: RNAcentral
CAACGCGCCCCAGGUCAGGCGGGGCUACCCGCUGAGUUUAAGCAUAUCAAUAAGCGGAG